This is a non-coding RNA of Struthio camelus australis, 1859 nucleotides long. NCBI's taxonomy places the organism in Eukaryota, Metazoa, Chordata, Aves, Struthioniformes, Struthionidae. The record is from RefSeq and is a predicted model, not a curated record.
UGCUUUUGACAGCUAUUUCCCUCGAGCAACCCGGAGUGGAGUUGGUUGAUCAACUCUUGAAGUUUUUCUAAGAGAGAUAAGCACUGCUACCCCUACUAGGCCACAAGUCUGCGAAAAAUGAACCUGGUGCUGGCUACUGGCUUUGUGCAGGCUUAUCAGUAUGAGCAAGAAGUGAUCUGGUGUAACCUACACCAGCAGGGUCUUCAGGACAGUGAGAUGCCAAGAAAAUAUUUUGUUCCUGUGGCCACUGUGAACAAUAGCUGUUCUGAGAGAGUGAUUUUUUUUUGGUUUUUUGUUUUUUUUUUUCAACUGGAAAGUGAAUGAAACAAAGUACCCAACAAUGCUCUGAACAACAGGAUAUUGCUUUGAACAACUGAACAACUGCUGCUGUUUUGCUUUGGGAAACUAAAAGUCAGAUGAAAAAGCCUGGGGCUGAGCAAUACCUGUAAAAUAGCUACUCACAACGAUUUUACCAGCUAUUGUAGCUGGAGUGAGCAUCUUGCUGACAGGUGGAAGGAGAAAAUAACUUGAAAGAGCAUGUGGAGCGCUCUGAAAUGUUGCUGCCCCUUCUGGACCAUGCAUCAGGGAUGCUUUGUGCUUCUACUUUAAGGUGAGAUGCGCUGCUUGUGACCUGUAUGGCUGUUUGGGGAUAAGGCAAUCAAUCACAGUUGCUGCAUGUGUGUCAGUGUAGCUGUGUAAGGACUUUUCUCCUGUUUUAUUUGGAAAUGGGUUUAUGAUAUUAAUGGUUGGAAGUUAAACAAAUUACUUGACAGUCAGCCACAAGUGUAAAAGCAAUUGUUUAAGCAAAGUGAACAGUAACAAACAUGCCAGUUGAAACGUGGAGGGUGUUACCGAACACUUAAUGUGCAAAGUUGAAAUCAGUUAAAAGGUGAAAAGCUAAAUGCAGCAGGUGUAAUCAGUGUGAUCAGCUUGUUCUUUUGAAGCCACUUUGUAGCGCAUAAAGGAUCAAAAGGGAAAAACAUGGUGUUUGGGGAAGUAGGGCAGUCCAGAAGGAUUCGUCCCAUUCUAUGUGAGAGGGUUAAGGGAUCUGUCUGGGUUUUUUGUUCUCUGUUGGCCUGUAAAUACCUGAAAACAGGCUGAAAGAGGCCCUUUCUUGAAGUGAGUGAUGUGACCUAAAUGCAGAUUUAUCGGUGGUGGAGUAUAGCAUGGUUCAGGCCCUGACCACAGAAACACCUUGUUCUCUGCAUUAUCUGCGUCUUGGCCAGCCCUGCAACCAGCGUCUGUAAGGCUCUGUCCAUUUCCCGUCUCGUCUUCCUCCUUCUGUCAGCAUUCAGGAACCUCUCUGUCCCCUCCGCCUCGGAUGGGGACAAUGCACUGGGACACCUCACCUCUUGAAGUCCCUUUCCUCUGAUCAGGCAGCUGGUGGUGCUUGCAACGCUUUGGCUGCCAAGGUGAAAAAGGCCAAAUCAGUAUGACAAACACUUGUGUGAAUGGCAGGCGUUAUGCCAGCAGCGAUGAAAUGGUUUCUUCUCCCGGCUAUUCCCUCCUUGAUUUUGGGGGAAAUCCAUCCCUCUGGACCCUGCUGGUGUUGAGAAAUUUAGUCAUUUCCAAAAUACCCCCCUUCUAGAUGGAGCUUCUGAGCCAGUGCUGAGGGGGAAGGGAAGUGAAGAAAGGGUUAGCGAAGGCCCAGGGCCGGGAGAGCUCCCGGAGGCCGGGUGAGGAGGGGGAGCAGAAGGGUGCUAGUGCCCUGCUGGUAGCCGGCAAGCUCAUGCCGCUUUUUGAGAAAGAGCGGCAAAACGCAAGCUGGCCAUUGCCGGAAGUCCCCAUCACAGCUCCCUUUCCCUCCAGAGAGGAGUAUUUCGAAAUGAGUCCCUUCCCCCACUCCGCCCCCCCCCCCC